GCAACAGUGGUGUAGUGGUAUCAUGCAAAAUUCCCAUUCUUGUUACCCGCAUUCGAUUCCCAGCUGGUGCA
RNAcentral lists this transfer RNA (71 nucleotides) under Anas platyrhynchos (mallard). It matches the Rfam family "tRNA". From Rfam's summary of the family: Transfer RNA (tRNA) molecules are approximately 80 nucleotides in length. Their secondary structure includes four short double-helical elements and three loops (D, anti-codon, and T loops). RNAcentral also lists the same sequence under 2 other names. Lineage: Eukaryota; Metazoa; Chordata; Aves; Anseriformes; Anatidae. The record is from Rfam by way of RNAcentral.